AGGAGGUGCUCAGAGGAAGAGGGCGGGCUUUACUUGGUGUCAGUGACAGAAAUGAAAAGAAGCUGAAAUGAGUGAGAAGGACGAUGAAGGAAACAUCUGUGCUGUGUCUGCUCUGUGGUCCAAUGUUUCUGGAUUACCCACAGCCCCCUCUGUCUGCAUAAAAGCAGUGCUGGAACACUGGUGUACCAUGGCCACGUGAGCAUCAGGGGAACAGCAUUGUCCUUGUUGCUAGAGAACAUGGUGAGAAAAAGUAAUUAACAAUGGAGGAGAGACAGACCGUCAUAACACUUAGAUGUAGGUCUUGUAGUCUGAUGAAUUAUAAUCUGAAAUCUUCGGUUCAUCACGCAGGAUCUGUGUACGCCAUCGAGUAGGCGAAAGAAUGGUUACACAGCAUUCUGCAGCGCCAUGCAGUACCCUCUGGUAAGCUUAAAAUAUGGAGUGGCCAGCACGGUCUCCAGACUUAAACCCCAUCAAGCUGGUUUGGGAUGAACUGGACCGAAGAGUGAAAGCAAAGCAACCUACAAGUGUCAAACAUUGUAGAAAGAACGCCACGGCUGUGUUCUGCUGUUAUAUCUGCCAAAGGUGGCUACUUUGAGAAGUUGAGAAUACAUUUGUCUUUGAAUUGAUUCUGAUUUCUUUUUUAACUCCAAUUGCUUAUUUGUACUGUGCUUUCAUUUCAGAGUACAAUGAGACAUUAAACUGGAUAAUUUCCAAUAAGCUCUGA
Non-coding RNA from Maylandia zebra (zebra mbuna), 724 nucleotides. Lineage: Eukaryota; Metazoa; Chordata; Actinopteri; Cichliformes; Cichlidae. The record is from RefSeq and is a predicted model, not a curated record.